RNAcentral lists this unclassified non-coding RNA (232 nucleotides) under plant metagenome. RNAcentral's name for it is "partial contains small subunit ribosomal RNA, internal transcribed spacer 1, and 5.8S ribosomal RNA". The stretch from base 1 to 53 matches the Rfam family "Eukaryotic small subunit ribosomal RNA", at positions 1779 to 1831 of the family's 1831-position model. The record is from RNAcentral.
GGAAUAAAAGUCGUAACAAGGUUUCCGUAGGUGAACCUGCGGAAGGAUCAUUCAUAAUAAAGUGUUUUAUGGCACUUUUUAAAAAUCCAUAUCCACCUUGUGUGCAAUGUUAGAUCUCGUCAAUCUUGGCGAGAUUUUUAUACAUCAACUCAUUCUUUAACUAAUUUGUCUGAAAAAUAUUAUGAAUACUUAAUUCAAAAUACAACUUUCAACAACGGAUCUCUUGGCUCUC